AGUGAACGCUGGCGGUAGGCCUAACACAUGCAAGUCGAACGGCAGCACAGUAAGAGCUUGCUCUUACGGGUGGCGAGUGGCGGACGGGUGAGGAAUACAUCGGAAUCUACUUUUUCGUGGGGGAUAACGUAGGGAAACUUACGCUAAUACCGCAUACGACCUACGGGUGAAAGCAGGGGAUCUUCGGACCUUGCGCGAUUGAAUUAGCCGAUGUCGGAUUAGCUAGUUGGCGGGGUAAAGGCCCACCAAGGCGACGAUCCGUAGCUGGUCUGAGAGGAUGAUCGGCCACACUGGAACUGAGACACGGUCCAGACUCCUACGGGAGGCAGCAGUGGGGAAUAUUGGACAAUGGGCGCAAGCCUGAUCCAGCCAUACCGCGUGAGUGAAGAAGGCCUUCGGGUUGUAAAGCCCUUUUGUUGGGAAAGAAAAGCAGCAGGUUAAUACCCCGAUGUUCUGACGGUACCCAAAGAAUAAGCACCGGCUAACUUCGUG
This 492-nucleotide ribosomal RNA is filed under the name uncultured bacterium. Its description in RNAcentral is "partial 16S ribosomal RNA". It matches the Rfam family "Bacterial small subunit ribosomal RNA", at positions 29 to 507 of the family's 1533-position model. The record is from RNAcentral.